GUCAGAAUGUGUCAUUUGUACCUGUUAGAGUUUGCCAUUUAUAACAAUAACGAUCAUGUUAAUCUAUGUUCUAAGAUACAUUGUUACAUUUGUGAUUGGUACGUUUACGUGGCCCAAUAUAUCUUCUUCUAACAAGUGGGAAAUCUUUAGUGAGGAAGGGGGAAAGUCCGUUGUUCUGUUUUUGAGCUGACUUGGAUGAAAUUGCAAGCAAUAGGCCUUCUUGGUCUCAAAAUAGUUGUGUAAAGGUUCGACAAAGGGAAAAGUCCGUUAUUUAGUUUUUGAACAGACCAGAUGAAAGUGUUACCAAUAAUAAUGUUACCUAAUUAAACCCAUCUUACUAGCAAAAGAAAACCGCAUCGCAAUGGGAUCUAGAUCAAAGAUGACAAUGGGUUGUUACUACUACUACUACCACUAAUUAUUCUUCUUCUGCCACUAAUUCUUCUUCUUCUUCUACUACUACUACCACUGUUGCUACUACUACUUCUUCUACUAAUUGUUCUUCUACCACUAAUUCUUCUUUUUCUUCUUCUACUACUACUACAACUGCUGCUACUACUACUUCUACUACUAGUAUCACUAAUCGAGGCGCCACUUCUUUGUCGAUGGUGUGUCCGGG
This 616-nucleotide long non-coding RNA is filed under the name Setaria viridis. RNAcentral describes it as "long non-coding RNA (SVIR_LNC000794)". The record is from RNAcentral. Lineage: Eukaryota; Viridiplantae; Streptophyta; Magnoliopsida; Poales; Poaceae.